This is a long non-coding RNA of Cyprinus carpio (common carp), 412 nucleotides long. RefSeq lists it as uncharacterized. The record is from RefSeq and is a predicted model, not a curated record. NCBI's taxonomy places the organism in Eukaryota, Metazoa, Chordata, Actinopteri, Cypriniformes, Cyprinidae. The transcript has 6 exons.
CCCGAAAUGGCUCUCUGCAAAGAAGCGGCCUUAUUCACUCUCCCUGCUUUCACAGUCGUCUCCUACAGACGUCAACGUAGGAAGCUCAGGCAAUGAAAGGACUGCUGUGUCAGUGAAUUGUGCUCCGAAAGAAGGUGCAACAUAACACCUACCCCACUGUCAAGAAUGAGAGAGGAUGUUGAUUCUCUCAGUGGAGGAAACACCACACCACCCCAGGUCAGAACUGACCAUUCCGGCAUAUUGAUUAAUAGAAGAACCACAGCUACACCAACUCGUGCCCAAAAUGCAGACUUCAGUGAAUCUGUGAUACGAACCAUCCUGACCAAUCAAGAAGUCAUCAAAGAUCAGAUGGGCAUUUUGGUGAAGCUAGUUCAUCAGUUAAAGGGAACUGCAGAAGAGAGCCCAUCUCUAC